GGACGAGUAGGCAAUGGCGGAAGAGGUGCCAUUCUUUGAAACAAAGGAAGAUGAAGAAGACGACAAAAAGAGGCGAAGAAGAGUUUUCGUCAGAGAAAACGAAAAGAGAUAAAAGAGAUAGAAGAGACAAAAAGAAUGAGAAGCUUGGGGAAGAAGAAAAGGCCGUCGUAUCGAAUUGUCGCAUCGAAGCGAGUUCCGAGGUCGGCUAUAAUGAUGAAUAGAUGGCGGUAAUUAAAAUGACUUAGCUAAUGCCGCAGAUGAGACAAAAUGAGGAUGGAGAUCGGGCCGUAAGAAAGAAAAUAAACGGCUAA
RNAcentral lists this long non-coding RNA (311 nucleotides) under Ananas comosus (pineapple). RNAcentral's name for it is "long non-coding RNA (ACOM_LNC035735)". The record is from RNAcentral. Lineage: Eukaryota; Viridiplantae; Streptophyta; Magnoliopsida; Poales; Bromeliaceae.